Ictidomys tridecemlineatus (thirteen-lined ground squirrel) is the source of this 1182-nucleotide non-coding RNA. Lineage: Eukaryota; Metazoa; Chordata; Mammalia; Rodentia; Sciuridae. The record is from RefSeq and is a predicted model, not a curated record.
UCCUCGAAUCUAGAUACAUCCCAAGGACAUCCAGUGCUGCAUCUUAGACUUCAGACCUUGUGUCACAUUUAAAGCCCAUGGCCUGGGUUAUCUGGGUCUUCAGUAUGAGGUGUCUACCAUGCAGGCUUCUAGCUCUGCUUUACUCUACAUGCUCUCCAUGAGUUCUAAGUCUCUAGUCCUAAGAUGAGAUUCUGCAGAACCACUGAAGUGAACGAAUUAGUGCAUCAAGAUUCCGACAUACCCAAGGUUGCAGCUCUCAGGCUAAAAGGACAAAGAGGUUUUCCACAUUUAACAAGAUGUUCAUUGUUCUGUGUUACUUCUACAUCAGUUUUCCAAGUAAGAAAGUUUUUCUGCGAGGUGCUUUGAGAUCCUGUUUCACAGUUAGAAGCAAUAUCUUAAAAUCUCAUAGUCAGCCCGUACCUACAUUCAAUCACAAACAAGAACAACAAAAAAUCUACAAUGCUUGUUUGUUCUUUUCCUCUUCUGAAGACUAGCCUAAUCGUGGUCUACUCUUGGGGGCUUGAGAUGACUUUCUUUUGCUACCUUCCCAGGCUGGGUGGACAAAUAUGGGAGCGGUAGAGUGCAGAAGACUACAGCCCUUACAGAGAAUUUGAAUUGAAUUGAAAUCCUAAACAGACUGAAUGAUGACCCCCAAAGAGACAAUUUUAAACUAGAAGGGACUUAGUCACCUCCAGUGGAGACUCCAGAAUUACUAUAUUUACAGGUUAGAGAUAGAAAUCAUACUGGGAGGGAGGAGUAGAGUACAAUGAAGUUGAUUUAUAUGGAAUUAUAACCAUUCCAUUUAAAUGUCAAGAUUAAGAAAUGCUCAACAUCAGUGGAAAUGAUAGCACUAAAGCCAACAUAAUGUAGUAAACAUCAUUAGCACCUAUGAAAAUGGUAUCUGCUCCUUUGAGACACAUGUUCCUGUAAAGUUUUGGGCUAAGCCAUGCCACUUGUUUGGACAUUGAAAAAUGACUAGGAAUGAUAUAUAUCACAUGUAGGUAGAAGCAUUCAGGGGCUGUAGCACAAUUCUCCUGCUGUCUUUGUCCAUCAAUGCAAACUCUGAAGAUUUAUAUUCAGAUGGUGUUGUCAUAAGAUGAUGGAGAUUUACCACCUUGGGAUUGUGAGUGAUUACAACAGAUUCACACAUGAUGAGUGGAACAUAAACCUUUGUUAUUUUGA